AAUAAGAUGCCUGAGCAAAAGGGCUAUCUUGAUAGGAUAGAUCAUACAAUAAAUUGUUCUUAUUA
RNAcentral lists this transfer RNA (65 nucleotides) under Leptocorisa lepida. RNAcentral describes it as "tRNA-Ile". Lineage: Eukaryota; Metazoa; Arthropoda; Insecta; Hemiptera; Alydidae. The record is from RNAcentral.